This 75-nucleotide transfer RNA is filed under the name Alicycliphilus denitrificans. RNAcentral's name for it is "tRNA-Lys". Lineage: Bacteria; Pseudomonadati; Pseudomonadota; Betaproteobacteria; Burkholderiales; Comamonadaceae. The record is from RNAcentral.
GGGAGUCCAAUGAGAUCCAUUGAUUUCGGACUUUUAAUCCGUUGGUCACAAGUUCGAAUCUUGUACGUCCUACCA